RNAcentral lists this ribosomal RNA (518 nucleotides) under uncultured bacterium. Its description in RNAcentral is "bacterial SSU rRNA". It matches the Rfam family "Bacterial small subunit ribosomal RNA", at positions 29 to 526 of the family's 1533-position model. The record is from RNAcentral.
AACGAACGCUGGCGGCGUGCCUAACACAUGCAAGUCGAGCGCGAAUAGGGGCAACCCUUAGUAGAGCGGCGCACGGGUGCGUAACACGUGGGUAAUCUGCCUCUCAGUCUGGGAUAACUACCCGAAAGGGUAGCUAAUACCGGUUAAGCUCCCGGGGCCCUUGGGCCUUGAGAGAAAAGGUGGCCUCUGCAUGCAAGCUACCGCUGAGAGAUGAGCCCGCGGCCCAUCAGCUAGUUGGUGAGGUAAUGGCUCACCAAGGCGACGACGGGUAGCUGGUCUGAGAGGACGAUCAGCCACACUGGAACUGAGACACGGUCCAGACUCCUACGGGAGGCAGCAGUGGGGAAUUUUGCGCAAUGGGCGAAAGCCUGACGCAGCAACGCCGCGUGUGUGAUGAAGGUCUUCGGAUUGUAAAGCACUUUCGACCGGGACGAAACCCCGUUGGCUAACAUCCAGCGGUUUGACGGUACCGGGAGAAGAAGCACCGGCUAACUCUGUGCCAGCCGCCGCCGUAACAC